This 458-nucleotide ribosomal RNA is filed under the name uncultured bacterium. RNAcentral describes it as "partial 16S ribosomal RNA". It matches the Rfam family "Bacterial small subunit ribosomal RNA", at positions 338 to 795 of the family's 1533-position model. The record is from RNAcentral.
CCUACGGGUGGCAGCAGUGAGGAAUAUUGGUCAAUGGGUGAGAGCCUGAACCAGCCAAGUCGCGUGAGGGAGUACUGCCCUAUGGGUUGUAAACCUCUUUUGUCGGGGAGCAAAAGCCGGACGUGUCCGGCUGUGAGAGUACCCGAAGAAAAAGCAUCGGCUAACCCCGUGCCAGCAGCCGCGGUAAUACGGAGGAUGCGAGCGUUAUCCGGAUUUAUUGGGUUUAAAGGGUGCGCAGGCGGAUUUUUAAGUCAGCGGUAAAAUCGUGGGGCUCAACCCCAUCCAGCCGUUGAAACUGGGGAUCUAGAGUGUGCGAGAGGUAUGCGGAAUGCGUGGUGUAGCGGUGAAAUGCAUAGAUAUCACGCAGAACCCCGAUUGCGAAGGCAGCAUACCGGUGCACAACUGACGCUCAGGCACGAAAGCGUGGGUAUCGAACAGGAGUAGAUACCCCGGUAGUC